UGAUGGCUUUCGCACUGUUGAACAAGGAGAUCCUUCCUCCAGAUGUGAUAGAGACAAGAUGACUUGGGGUGUGGAAGCCAAAAAGCUAUGGCAGAACCAUCCUGAUCCCUUGAUGGCAAGCAGUCUAUCCAGAAAGAAAGUUGUGGUAGGAAGACAUUUUCUCUCUUGUUUUUCUAAAAGGACAAAGUUUGGAAACAUCUACAUGGUCUUUCUUAGAGGCACCAGUUCAUAUGGAGGAGUCUGAAGUUAAAUUCAGAGGUGCUGCAGGUGAGUAUUGGGAAGUCCCCAAC
This 290-nucleotide long non-coding RNA is filed under the name Heterocephalus glaber (naked mole-rat). RNAcentral describes it as "lncRNA (ENSHGLG00000049523.1)". The record is from RNAcentral. Lineage: Eukaryota; Metazoa; Chordata; Mammalia; Rodentia; Bathyergidae.